RNAcentral lists this ribosomal RNA (88 nucleotides) under Candidatus Omnitrophota bacterium. RNAcentral's name for it is "partial 23S ribosomal RNA". It matches the Rfam family "Bacterial large subunit ribosomal RNA", at positions 2837 to 2925 of the family's 2925-position model. Lineage: Bacteria; Pseudomonadati; Candidatus Omnitrophota. The record is from RNAcentral.
CUCGUAGACGACGAGGUUGAUAGGCUGCAUGUGUAAGACCAGUAAUGGUUUGAGCUAAGCAGUACUAAUAAGCCAAAAACUUGAUCUU